UACGGAGGUUCCUAGCGUUGUUCGGAAUUAUUGGGCGUAAAGAGCGUGUAGGCGGCCAGAUAAGUCCGCUGUGAAAUCUCGAGGCUCAACUUCGAGCUGUCGGUGGAAACUAUCUGGCUAGAGUCCGGAAGAGGAGAAUGGAAUUCCUGGUGUAGCGGUGAAAUGCGCAGAUAUCAGGAAGAACACCCGUGGCGAAGGCGGUUCUCUGGGACGGUACUGACGCUGAGACGCGAAAGCGUGGGGAGCGAACAGG
RNAcentral lists this ribosomal RNA (253 nucleotides) under uncultured bacterium. RNAcentral describes it as "partial 16S ribosomal RNA". It matches the Rfam family "Bacterial small subunit ribosomal RNA", at positions 524 to 776 of the family's 1533-position model. The record is from RNAcentral.